UACAGAGGGGGCAAGCGUUGUUCGGAAUUACUGGGCGUAAAGGGCGCGUAGGCGGCCUGUUAAGUCGAACGUGAAAUCCCCGGGCUCAACCCGGGAACUGCGUCCGAUACUGGCAGGCUUGAAUCCGGGGAGAGGGAUGCAGAAUUCCAGGUGUAGCGGUGAAAUGCGUAGAUAUCUGGAGGAAUACCGGUGGCGAAGGCGGCAUCCUGGACCGGCAUUGACGCUGAUGAGCGAAAGCUAGGGGAGCAAACGGG
Molecule: ribosomal RNA, 254 nt
Filed under: uncultured bacterium
Lineage: Bacteria
Description: partial 16S ribosomal RNA
Rfam family: Bacterial small subunit ribosomal RNA
Source: RNAcentral